AUAACACCCCUGUCCAAGUCCUAUAGAGAAAAAAAAAAAUCCCUACUUUUGACUACAGUUACACAGCAGAUCCCAAAGAGCUUUGUAGUAGUUUAACGUACUACAACUUAUCAGAAAGAUGAGGCACUUGACAGUUACAUUAAGGAGCUAAAGUCAAUACGGCAGUUGUAGAUUUGCUAAUGCCACUGUAUUUUUCUGCUCAUAGCAUGGACCCAUUCAUAUGACUAAUUUAGGUACAGGCUUCUCCAGUCAGAAUGAGAUUGAAGGUGCAGGAUCGAAGCCAGCAAGUUCCUCAGGCAAAGAGAGAGAGAGGGACAGGCAGUUGAUGCCUCCACCAGCCUUUCCAGUGACUGGAAUAAAAACAGAGUCCGAUGAAAGGAAUGGGUCUGGGACCUUAACAGGGAGCCAUGGUGAGUGUGAUAUAGCUGGGGGAACAGGGGAGUGGCUAAGACUGGUCUAAAGCUAUUAGUUUUCUCAGCCGGGCGCAGUGGCUCACGCCUGUAAUCCCAGCACUUUGGGAGGCCGAGGUGGGCAGAUCACCUAAGGUCAGGAGUUCAAGACCAGCUUGGCCAACAUAGUGAAAUCCCAUCUCUACUAAAAAUACAAAAACUAGCGGGCA
RNAcentral lists this long non-coding RNA (619 nucleotides) under Homo sapiens (human). RNAcentral describes it as "non-protein coding lnc-RIT1-1:2". The record is from RNAcentral. Lineage: Eukaryota; Metazoa; Chordata; Mammalia; Primates; Hominidae.